RNAcentral lists this ribosomal RNA (251 nucleotides) under uncultured bacterium. RNAcentral describes it as "partial 16S ribosomal RNA". It matches the Rfam family "Bacterial small subunit ribosomal RNA", at positions 1251 to 1500 of the family's 1533-position model. The record is from RNAcentral.
GAGACAGUGAUGUGGAGCGAAUCCCAAAAAUAACGUCUCAGUUCGGAUUGUAGUCUGCAACCCGACUACAUGAAGCUGGAAUCGCUAGUAAUCGCGGAUCAGAAUGCCGCGGUGAAUACGUUCCCGGGUCUUGUACACACCGCCCGUCACACCAUGGGAGUCAGUAACGCCCGAAGUCAGUGACCCAACCUGAUAGGAGGGAGCUGCCGAAGGCGGGACCGGUGACUGGGGUGAAGUCGUAACAAGGUAUC